UUCGUCGGGCAGCAGUCUCGUGUAACUCGAGCGAUUAAGGGAGCUUGCUCCUGGAUUCUGCGGCGGACGGGUGAGUAAUGCCUAGGAAUCUGCCUGGUAGUGCGGGAUAACGUCCGGAAACGGGCGCUAAUACCGCAUACGUCCUGAGGGAGAGAGUGGGGGAUCUUCGGACCUCACGCUAUCACAUGAGCCAAGCACGAAUUAACUAGUUGGUGGGGUAAAGGCCUACCAAGGCGACGAUCCGUAACUGGUCUGAGAGGAUGAUCAGUCACACUGGAACUGAGACACGGUCCAGACUCCUACGGGAGGCAGCAGUGGGGAAUAUUGGACAAUGGGCGAAAGCCUGAUCCAGCCAUGCCGCGUGUGUGAAGAAGGUCUUCGGAUUGUAAAGCACUUUAAGUUGGGAGGAAGGGCAGUAAGUUAAUACCUUGCUGUUUUGACGUUACCAACAGAAUAAGCACCGGCUAACUUCGUGCCAGCAGCCGCGGUAAUACGAAGGGUGCAAGCGUUAAUCGGAAUUACUGGGCGUAAAGCGCGCGUAGGUGGUUCAGCAAGUUGGAUGUGAAAUCCCCGGGCUCAACCUGGGAACUGCAUCCAAAACUACUGAGCUAGAGUACGGUAGAGGGUGGUGGAAUUUCCUGUGUAGCGGUGAAAUGCGUAGAUAUAGGAAGGAACACCAGUGGCGAAGGCGACCACCUGGACUGAUACUGACACUGAGGUGCGAAAGCGUGGGAGCAAACAGGAUUAGAUACCCUGUAGUCCACGCCGUAAACGAUGUCGACUAGCCGUUGGGAUCCUUGAGAUCUUAGUGGCGCAGCUAACGCGAUAAGUCGACCGCCUUGGGGAGUACGGCCGCAAGGUUUAAAACUCAAAUGAAUUGACGGGGCCCGGCACAAGGCGGUGGAGCAUGUGUUUAAUUCGAAGCAACGCGAAGAACCUUACUUGGCCUUGAAAUGCUGAAACUUUCAAGAAGAUGAUUGGUGCCUUCGGAACUCAGACCAGGUGCUGCAUGGCUGUCGUCAGCUCGGUGUCGUGAAUGUCGAUAAGUCCGUAACGAGCGCUACCUUGUCUAGUACAGCACCUCGGUGAACUCUAGGGAACUGCGGUACAACGGAGGAGGUGUAUGACGUCAGUCUAUCUGUCCUAACGCUCAGGCUACACGUUCAAUGACGUAAAGGUUGCAGCCCGAAAGUGGGACCAUAAAU
Molecule: ribosomal RNA, 1205 nt
Filed under: Pseudomonas aeruginosa
Lineage: Bacteria; Pseudomonadati; Pseudomonadota; Gammaproteobacteria; Pseudomonadales; Pseudomonadaceae
Description: bacterial SSU rRNA
Rfam family: Bacterial small subunit ribosomal RNA
Source: RNAcentral